Molecule: non-coding RNA, 45 nt
Filed under: Schistosoma mansoni
Lineage: Eukaryota; Metazoa; Platyhelminthes; Trematoda; Strigeidida; Schistosomatidae
Source: RNAcentral
AUUCAAAUGAUGAGUCUCAAAUAAGACGAAACUUGCGUCCCAAAU